GUGCCAGUGAAGCAUUCCUCUGCACCUAGGCCACCCCAGAGGUUGUCACACAGUACCCAAGUUCUCUCAGGAGCUCACCAAGCCAAUAUCUUCACCCAGAGGACUGGAACUGUAGGUGGAGACCCAUAUCGUGGAUGUGCUGCCAUGGCCCCUAACCUUGAUUCUAAGCUCCAGGACCAAGCAGACAGACCUCAGUAUCUCCAGGAUGGAACAUCUCCCUGAAACUGCCCUACCACUGCGGGCUCAAGUUCACAGGAACACCAGCUUCUUGCCAACAGAGUCACUCCUUGCCCUGCUUAAGGUCUCAGCCUUAAGGUCUCUUGAGUCUGAAAACCUCAGACUCAAGAGCUCAAUUAUCUCUCCUCUAGGCCACCAAAUUCCAGCCUCUCUACUCUGUGGACCUUGGAAUGAAACACCACCUCUUUAUCCCCCUCCCAACAGUACCUCCAUCUUCAACCCCAUGCCCUCUGCAUCCCAUCCUUCCCCAAAAGCAACCCAAUAUUUCUGUCUCUGGCCAUCACUGUCCUGACUACAUCUCUCCCGACACUCAUCUCCUCCUCUUCCUAUGGUUUCCCUAUCCUGUCAUAAGCCAUCCUUCAAAAAACAAGAUGUAAGGAGCUUGCUGCUGGGUUUAGCACUCUGGAAACCAGAUGGAUUCUCCAGCUCUGACGUGAGGAUUACAACUCUAAGGUCCAAAUCCAGUUUUAAACAUAGAUUCUAAGUUAUGACCCAAUAAUCCUCACAUAUCAUAUACC
This 755-nucleotide long non-coding RNA is filed under the name Rhinopithecus bieti (black snub-nosed monkey). Its description in RNAcentral is "lncRNA (ENSRBIG00000045689.1)". Lineage: Eukaryota; Metazoa; Chordata; Mammalia; Primates; Cercopithecidae. The record is from RNAcentral.